AAUGUCACUGUGGGUGUCUACUAUCAACCUCCCAGCCAGGACAAUGAUGCUGACAAAUUAUUCUAUGAGGAACUAAGGAACGUCUCCAAGCCAACAGCUCUUGCCCUUAUGGGGGACUUUGAUUUUCCAGACAUUACCUGGGAGAACCACACAGCUGUUACAACUCAGAAGGUUCCUAAAAAUCCUGAAUGACAGCUUUAGGGAAUAGGUCCUAAGGGAGAUGGCUUGGAAAGAUGCCCUCCUUGAUCUAUUGCUUGCCAACAAGGAAGAUCUCAUAAUGGAAGAUUGGUUGCUGUCUUGGCCACAACAACCAAGUUUAAAAUUUCUGUUGACAGGAGGGAAAUUGCCAGCAAACCUCAACUCUGGACAUGAGGAGAGCAGAAUUCAGGCUGUUCAGACAAUUUUAGAGCACUUUGGAUGACAGAAUUAAGUCGACAGUUCUACAGAAAAAAAAGACAGAAAAUAAAGCUCCCGUGACACAUUCACUCACUGACAACAAACAUUGACAAUUUAUUUUUCUCCUAACUCUGUGGACUAUUGUGAGAUGGCAAAUGGACACAAAAAUAGUGACAUUUCAAUAAAGGAAAUCUGA
Passer domesticus (house sparrow) is the source of this 592-nucleotide long non-coding RNA. RefSeq lists it as uncharacterized. The transcript is spliced from 3 exons. The record is from RefSeq and is a predicted model, not a curated record. NCBI's taxonomy places the organism in Eukaryota, Metazoa, Chordata, Aves, Passeriformes, Passeridae.